This 253-nucleotide ribosomal RNA is filed under the name uncultured bacterium. RNAcentral's name for it is "partial 16S ribosomal RNA". It matches the Rfam family "Bacterial small subunit ribosomal RNA", at positions 524 to 776 of the family's 1533-position model. The record is from RNAcentral.
UACGAACCGAGCGAACGUUGUUCGGAAUCACUGGGCUUAAAGGGCGCGUAGGCGGAUUUGCAAGUCCGUGGUGAAAUCCCACAGCUCAACUGUGGAACUGCCUCGGAUACUGUGAGUCUCGAGGGUGGUAGGGGUAUGCGGAACUAUCGGUGGAGCGGUGAAAUGCGUUGAUAUCGAUAGGAACUCCGGUGGCGAAGGCGGCAUACUGGACCACAUCUGACGCUGAGGCGCGAAAGCCAGGGGAGCAAACGGG